GAUGAACGCUGGCGUCGUGCCUAAUACAUGCAAGUCGAGCGAACAGAUGAGGAGCUUGCUCCUCUGACGUUAGCGGCGGACGGGUGAGUAACACGUGGAUAACCUACCUAUAAGACUGGGAUAACUUCGGGAAACCGGAGCUAAUACCGGAUAAUAUAUUGAACCGCAUGGUUCAAUAGUGAAAGACGGUUUUGCUGUCACUUAUAGAUGGAUCCGCGCCGCAUUAGCUAGUUGGUAAGGUAACGGCUUACCAAGGCAACGAUGCGUAGCCGACCUGAGAGGGUGAUCGGCCACACUGGAACUGAGACACGGUCCAGACUCCUACGGGAGGCAGCAGUAGGGAAUCUUCCGCAAUGGGCGAAAGCCUGACGGAGCAACGCCGCGUGAGUGAUGAAGGUCUUCGGAUCGUAAAACUCUGUUAUUAGGGAAGAACAAAUGUGUAAGUAACUAUGCACGUCUUGACGGUACCUAAUCAGAAAGCCACGGCUAACUACGUG
Molecule: ribosomal RNA, 497 nt
Filed under: uncultured bacterium
Lineage: Bacteria
Description: partial 16S ribosomal RNA
Rfam family: Bacterial small subunit ribosomal RNA
Source: RNAcentral